AUUGAACGCUGGCGGCAGGCUUAACACAUGCAAGUCGAGCGGGGGAAGGUAGCUUGCUACUGGACCUAGCGGCGGACGGGUGAGUAAUGCUUAGGAAUCUGCCUAUUAGUGGGGGGCAACAUCUCGAAAGGGAUGCUAAUACCGCAUACGUCCUACGGGAGAAAGCAGGGGAUCUUCGGACCUUGCGCUAAUAGAUGAGCCUAAGUCGGAUUAGCUAGUUGGUGGGGUAAAGGCCUACCAAGGCGACGAUCUGUAGCGGGUCUGAGAGGAUGAUCAGCACAACUGGGACUGGGACACGGCCCAGACUCCUACGGGAGGCAGCAGUGGGGAAUAUUGGACAAUGGGGGGAACCCUGAUCCAGCCAUGCCGCGUGUGUGAAGAAGGCCUUAUGGUUGUAAAGCACUUUAAGCGAGGAGGAGGCUACUCUAGUUAAUACCUAGGGAUAGUGGACGUUACUCGCAGAAUAAGCACCGGCUAACUCUGUGCCAGCAGCCGCCGUAA
This 501-nucleotide ribosomal RNA is filed under the name uncultured bacterium. Its description in RNAcentral is "partial 16S ribosomal RNA". It matches the Rfam family "Bacterial small subunit ribosomal RNA", at positions 30 to 523 of the family's 1533-position model. The record is from RNAcentral.